This is a long non-coding RNA of Seriola aureovittata, 1097 nucleotides long. RefSeq lists it as uncharacterized. NCBI's taxonomy places the organism in Eukaryota, Metazoa, Chordata, Actinopteri, Carangiformes, Carangidae. The transcript is spliced from 2 exons. The record is from RefSeq and is a predicted model, not a curated record.
AUGAACUAACACUAUCAAUAGAUAGAUAGAUAGAUACUUUACCUCUCUGCUCUGCAACACAGUGAGAUGAGAUGUUUACUGCAGCUGUAGCUGCUUCUCUGUCCUGCCAGAAUGUUGUGGAGAGGAGGGUUGGUAUUGUCCAAGAUGGCCUCCAUCUCCUGCCAAGCACAGACCCAGCCUUUUUGACCAGCGUGUCCAGUCUGUUUGUGUUCAUGUCAGACAUGCUGCUGCCCCAGAAGACUGCAGCAUAAAAAUAUAGUGUGUUUGUGAAGCCACAGUGACGAUGUCAUGACCAAGACCUCCAUCUAAUGUAUUUUAUAGAUAUCUACUGAAAUGAGCAUGCUAACCAACUAGCUGCAUCCCGCACUGUGUUGUAAUACCACUUUAUGACACUAUAUGCUGUGUGAGUCAGUGUAGCAUCUAGUCUGCCCUCAGUCCCACGAAGAAGAACAGCUUCUUCCACGACUUGAAGUUACGCUACAGCUUCCAACUAAAAAAAAAAAAAGCUCCCGACUAGCAUCACAGAAACACAGAAAUGGCUGAAGCGCAUAGAAAGUGAUCUUUAUCUCCAUCUCCAAGAACCGCUCCGACAAGAAACCACGUUCAACGGCAAAGAAAAGAAGAAACAUGAGUAAAUCCUGGUGUGGCUUCCCACCACUGGAAACAGCUCUGGGUAAAGAGAUGCGGUUUGAUGCUGAGCUGCAACUUUUCUGUUAAACAGGACCAGAAGUCCAGUCCAGUCCUCCCAGGGACUGACCAGCACCUGCCUUUUCUUCUGCGUCUGGACUCAUCAACCAUCAACAACCACAUGAUAGCACCUCAGAGAUUUAUCCCUGCACAGAACACAUUGUCUAUACUGUGAUCUUCUGCACAUCCUGCUCAGCAGGAGUUUCGUCAACACUUUUGUACAUAGUUUUUUUCAUAGUUUUAUUUUUUAAAUGUGUAUCUAUGUAUAUUUAUCUUUUUGACUGUUGCAGUAUUUUACCUUUUUAUUGUUACUUCCUGUUAAUAUGUUUAUUGGAUACUGCACCAAACACCAAGCCAAAUAUCUUGUAAGUAAAAACCUACCUGCCAAUAAACCUUAUUUUCUGACUCUG